CAUAGCAGUGAGGAAUAUUGGUCAAUGGCCUAACGGCCGAACCAGCAACUUGGAAGAAUGUUAGCAGUAAUUACGUUACAUAAAAUUCCUGGUAAAUAUUUGAUGAUGACAUGAUUUAUCAGUAAGUCUUGACCAAAUCACGUGCCAGCAGUCGCGGUAACACGUGGAAGACAAGUGUUAUUCAUCUUUAAUAGGUUUAUAGGGUACCUAGACAGCUAAUCAAGCCUACAUCAGGGACUAAUUAUGCUAGAGUUUUAUGGAAGAAGGAUAGAAUGGUGGUGUAGAGAUAAAAUAUUUUGAUACCCCUUUAAGACUGGCAAGGGCGAAAGCGACCUUUUAUGUAAAAACUGACGUUGAGGGACGAAGGCUCAAAGGAAGAAACAGGAUUAGAUACCCCAGUACUGUGAGCAGACAAUGAUGAGUGUCAUAUAUAAGUACGUGUUAGGUUUUAAACUAUUAUAAAAAUGCUUUAUUAAGAUUUAUGUAUAAAUGAAAGUGUAAGCACUCCACCUUAAGAGUAACAUGGCAACAUGGGAACUGAAAUCAUUAGACCGUUUCUGAAACCAGUAGUGAAGUAUGUUGUUUAAUUUGAUGGUCCACAAAGAACCUUACCUAAAUUUGAACAAUUUACAGGUGUUGCACGGCUGUUUAUAGUUUAUAUCGUGAGAUCUAAUCGACGAAAACCCUAACUUUAUUUUUUUCAUAAAGUAAUUUAUAAUUGAAAUUACAGUUAUAUAACAGGGAUUAAGACAAGUCAUCGUGACCCUAAUAUUUAGGGC
This 779-nucleotide ribosomal RNA is filed under the name Porina rufula. RNAcentral describes it as "SSU rRNA". It matches the Rfam family "Bacterial small subunit ribosomal RNA", at positions 347 to 1214 of the family's 1533-position model. The record is from RNAcentral. Lineage: Eukaryota; Fungi; Ascomycota; Lecanoromycetes; Ostropales; Porinaceae.